This 498-nucleotide ribosomal RNA is filed under the name uncultured bacterium. RNAcentral describes it as "partial 16S ribosomal RNA". It matches the Rfam family "Bacterial small subunit ribosomal RNA", at positions 28 to 507 of the family's 1533-position model. The record is from RNAcentral.
GACGAACGCUGGCGGCGUGCCUAAUACAUGCAAGUCGAACUAGAGCGACCGGUGCUUGCACUGGUCAAUCUAGUGGCGAACGGGUGAGUAACACGUGGGUAACCUGCCCAUCAGAGGGGGAUAACAUUCGGAAACGGAUGCUAAAACCGCAUAGGUCUUCGAACCGCAUGGUUUGAAGAGGAAAAGAGGCGCAAGCUUCUGCUGAUGGUUGGACCCGCGGUGCAUUAGCUAGUUGGUAAGGUAACGGCUCACCAAGGCCGUGAUGCAUAGCCGACCUGAGAGGGUGAUCGGCCACAUUGGGACUGAGACACGGCCCAAACUCCUACGGGAGGCAGCAGUAGGGAAUCUUCCGCAAUGGACGAAAGUCUGACGGAGCAACGCCGCGUGAGUGAAGAAGGUUUUCGGAUCGUAAAACUCUGUUGUUAGAGAAGAAUAAGUGCUAGAGUAACUGUUAGCGCCUUGACGGUACCUAACCAGAAAGCCACGGCUAACUACGUG